Molecule: ribosomal RNA, 838 nt
Filed under: Codinaea ellipsoidea
Lineage: Eukaryota; Fungi; Ascomycota; Sordariomycetes; Chaetosphaeriales; Chaetosphaeriaceae
Description: partial large subunit ribosomal RNA
Rfam family: Eukaryotic large subunit ribosomal RNA
Source: RNAcentral
AUAAGCGGAGGAAAAGAAACCAACAGGGAUUGCCUCAGUAACGGCGAGUGAAGCGGCAACAGCUCAAAUUUGAAAUCUGGCCCCCCGGCCCGAGUUGUAAUUUGCAGAGGAUGCUUCUGGCGCGGUGCCUUCCAAGUCCCCUGGAACGGGGCGCCAUAGAGGGUGAGAGCCCCGUCCGGUUGGCCGCCAAGCCUGUGUGAAGCUCCUUCGACGAGUCGAGUAGUUUGGGAAUGCUGCUCUAAACGGGAGGUAGACCCCUUCUAAAGCUAAAUACCGGCCAGAGACCGAUAGCGCACAAGUAGAGUGAUCGAAAGAUGAAAAGCACUUUGAAAAGAGGGUUAAACAGUACGUGAAAUUGUUGAAAGGGAAGCGCUUGUGACCAGACGUGCGCCGGGUGUUCAGCGGGCGUUUUCGCCCGUGCAUUCGCCCCGGCGCAGGCCAGCGUCGGUUUGGGCGGGGGGAUAAAGGCGCCAGGAACGUAUCUCCCCCGGGAGUGUUAUAGCCUGGCGCGCCAUGCCCCCGCCUGGACCGAGGUUCGCGCUCCGCAAGGACGCUGGCGUAAUGGUCCCCAGCGGCCCGUCUUGAAACACGGACCAAGGAGUCGAGGUUUUACGCGAGUGUCUGGGUGUCAAACCCGCACGCGUAAUGAAAGUGAACGCAGGUGGGAGCUUCGGCGCACCACCGACCGAUCCUGAUGUUUUCGGAUGGAUUUGAGUAGGAGCGUAGGGCCUCGGACCCGAAAGAUGGUGAACUAUACUUGGAUAGGGUGAAGCCAGAGGAAACUCUGGUGGAGGCUCGCAGCGGUUCUGACGUGCAAAUCGAUCGUCAAAUCUGAGUA